UCAUCUCUCAAACCAUCCCUUCUGCUUUUUCCCCCCCUUUGAAAUUUCAAAUUCCAGUUUGUGGACAAAGUCCUACCUAUCUGAGAAUAUAGAUCUCCGACCACUGACCAAACUCCAUUCCAAGUGACAACUUAGUUAUGCUUUUUCCCAGGCUCUGACAUUCAAUGUUUGGAACUACUGGGGAGAUUGUAGAUCAGCUCGCCUCGGCCUGAACUGCUCUUGCACCUUGAGAGAAUGGAUUCUGGCUAUUUGUGUGACCAUUGGGAAGAGGAUUCCUUCUGAUUGCCAGUAACAAAGCAGAACUGGUGUCCCCAAAGCUGGCAUCAUGGAAAUAUGCUGAGGGUGGAUGAUAUUGGGAGACAGACACAGAAGUGAGAAAAAGUCAGGCUGAUGUCAACAUCUAAGGAAGCAAUAAAGGAACAGAACUGGAAGACCAGAAACAAGCCUAUGUGACAAAAGAUCCAAA
Python bivittatus (Burmese python) is the source of this 466-nucleotide long non-coding RNA. RefSeq lists it as uncharacterized. The record is from RefSeq and is a predicted model, not a curated record. Lineage: Eukaryota; Metazoa; Chordata; Lepidosauria; Squamata; Pythonidae.